This 201-nucleotide ribosomal RNA is filed under the name uncultured bacterium. RNAcentral describes it as "partial 16S ribosomal RNA". It matches the Rfam family "Bacterial small subunit ribosomal RNA", at positions 524 to 719 of the family's 1533-position model. The record is from RNAcentral.
UACGUAGGGUGCAAGCGUUGUCCGGAAUUAUUGGGCGUAAAGAGCUCGUAGGCGGUCUGUUGCGUCGGCUGUGAAAACCCGAGGCUCAACCUCGGGCCUGCAGCCGAUACGGGCAGACUAGAGUUCGGCAGGGGGAGACUGGAAUUCCUGGUGUAGCGGUGAAAAUGCGCAGAUAUCAGGGAGGGAACACCCGGUGGCGAA